CCAGAGUGGACUUACCGCUGGUGUACCAGUUGUCUUGCCAAAGGCAUCGCUGGGUAGCUAUGUAGGGAAGGGAUAAGCGCUGAAAGCAUCUAAGUGCGAAGCCCACCUCAAGAUGAGAUUUCCCAUGAUUUUAUAUCAGUAAGAGCCCUGAGAGAUGAUCAGGUAGAUAGGUUAGGAGUGUAAUUGUGGUGACACAUUUAGCGGACUAAUACUAAUAGCUCGAGGACUUAUCCAAAA
This 237-nucleotide ribosomal RNA is filed under the name Streptococcus agalactiae. RNAcentral describes it as "partial 23S ribosomal RNA". It matches the Rfam family "Bacterial large subunit ribosomal RNA", at positions 2692 to 2925 of the family's 2925-position model. The record is from RNAcentral. Lineage: Bacteria; Bacillati; Bacillota; Bacilli; Lactobacillales; Streptococcaceae.